Long non-coding RNA from Eubalaena glacialis (North Atlantic right whale), 512 nucleotides. RefSeq lists it as uncharacterized. The transcript is spliced from 3 exons. Lineage: Eukaryota; Metazoa; Chordata; Mammalia; Artiodactyla; Balaenidae. The record is from RefSeq and is a predicted model, not a curated record.
GCGGCGCCCCUUCCCAGCGGAGCGGCUUCGGAAGCGCGCCGGCAUCCGAAACUCGGAUCCCGAAGAUGCCCAGGUUCCACCCAAGAGCCCUUAACCAGGCUCCCGGCUCUGAAUCUGACAGCUGGGAAUCCGACAUGGCCCCAGUCCCCAGCCGCGGCCGUCCGCGCACGCGCACACCGUCUUGCCCAUGCGGCCAGGCCUUCAAACUUGGACUGGAACUAUACCACUGGCUCUCCUGGGUCUCCAGCUCACAAACAAAAGAUCACGGGACUUCUCAGCCUCCAUAAUCCUAAUCCUGAGGCCACCACUGUGUCAGGAAGAAGACGGGGAUGCAGGUCAACGUAAGAGAGAGGCUCAGCACCCAGCCAUCCCAGCUGAGCCCAGCAUCCAGUGGAUGCAGUCACCCGAGCGAACCCAGACAAGACGAGUUAGAAGGACUGCCCAGCCAACCCGCAGAACUGUGAAAAAGAAUGAAUUGUCAUUUUAAGCCACUAAGUGUGGAGUGGCUUGUU